UUAAAAAUAAUUUUAAUAAGUAAAAUUAACACUUUUCAAAACAAAUACUCUUGAUCAAAAUCAAGAUUUUUCAAAAUCAAACUUUAACUUUUUCAUUUAAAAGCAAAUCAUUUUCAAUUCAAAAUAAAUCAAAACGCUUUAUUCUUAUCAAAUUCUUUUUAAAACUUGAACGCUUCAUAAACUCUUUUUCGCAAUAAAUAACUGAUUGAAAAGUGAUUAUUUG
This 223-nucleotide long non-coding RNA is filed under the name Lathyrus oleraceus (garden pea). Its description in RNAcentral is "Pisum sativum (pea) long non-coding RNA (PSAT_LNC006830)". The record is from RNAcentral. Lineage: Eukaryota; Viridiplantae; Streptophyta; Magnoliopsida; Fabales; Fabaceae.